CGGCCGGACCGCGCUGCUGGACAGCGUCGCGCGGCUGCUGGCCGCGGACGGGGCGCGGGUCCUGCCGCUGCGGCUCGGCACCGGACCGGACGGC
RNAcentral lists this transfer RNA (94 nucleotides) under Streptomyces olivaceus. Its description in RNAcentral is "tRNA-Ser". The record is from RNAcentral. Lineage: Bacteria; Bacillati; Actinomycetota; Actinomycetes; Kitasatosporales; Streptomycetaceae.